AGCGAACGCUGGCGGCAGGCCUAACACAUGCAAGUCGAACGAACUCUUCGGAGUUAGUGGCGGACGGGUGAGUAACACGUGGGAACGUGCCCUUUGGUACGGAAUAACUCAGGGAAACUUGAGCUAAUACCGUAUGUGCCCUUCGGGGGAAAGAUUUAUCGCCAUUGGAGCGGCCCGCGUCUGAUUAGCUAGUUGGUGAGGUAAAGGCUCACCAAGGCUACGAUCAGUAGCUGGUCUGAGAGGAUGAUCAGCCUCAUUGGGACUGAGACACGGCCCAAACUCCUACGGGAGGCAGCAGUGGGGAAUCUUGCGCAAUGGGCGAAAGCCUGACGCAGCCAUGCCGCGUGAAUGAUGAAGGUCUUAGGAUUGUAAAAUUCUUUCACCGGGGACGAUAAUGACGGUACCCGGAGAAGAAGCCCCGGCUAACUUCGUG
Molecule: ribosomal RNA, 433 nt
Filed under: uncultured bacterium
Lineage: Bacteria
Description: partial 16S ribosomal RNA
Rfam family: Bacterial small subunit ribosomal RNA
Source: RNAcentral